This 823-nucleotide long non-coding RNA is filed under the name Physcomitrium patens. Its description in RNAcentral is "long non-coding RNA (PPAT_LNC000844)". Lineage: Eukaryota; Viridiplantae; Streptophyta; Bryopsida; Funariales; Funariaceae. The record is from RNAcentral.
UUUUCCAAUUUUUUAUGCUUAUUUUUGAGUUAGUUUUUAAGAAGUUUUCAAAAUUUGAGUUAAGAUCAAUGGUUCAUUCAUUAGUUAUUGAGGUUUAAAUUUGUUGUAAAAAUUACUCAGAUUUGGUUAGGAUUUGGUUUGGAGUUUAGAAUUUGGUUAGGAUUUGAUUUAGGGUUAGGAUUUGGUUAAGAUUUGGUUUAGGAUUAGGAUUUGAUUUAGGAUUAGGAUUUGGUUUAGGAUUUAGGAUUUGGUUAAGAUUUGGUUAGGAUUUGAUUUAAGAUUUAGGGUUUGAUUUAGAGUUUGGUUUAAGAUUUAGGAUUUGGUUUAGGAUUUGGUUUAGGAUUUAAGGUUUGAUUAGGGUUUGAUUUAGGAUAAGAAUUUAUUUAAGGUUGUUUAGAUUUUGAUUAGGAUUUGAUUAGGAUUUGAUUAGGAUUUUUUUAAAGUUUUUUAGGAUUUGAUUAGGAUUUGUAUAGGGUUGUUUAGAGAUCAGUUAGAAUUUGAUUAGAGUUUGUUAAGGAUUUUUUAGGAUUUGGUUAGUAUUUGACUAGGAUUUGAUUAAGAUUUAUUUAGGAUUUGAAUAGGAUUUGGUUAGGAUUUUUAGGACUUGUUGUUGCAAUUUUUUCUUUUAUCUUUUACAGCUAGGUGCUCGGUGCAUUCUCAAGCCACGUAAUAUGACAACUUUUAACUUGUAAAGAAAAACUUGAGUAGAGCAAAGAAGCCAAAGCAUCUUUUGGUGCUUUAAAAAAAGAGUUUACUUUUUCUUUAAUAUAUAUUGUGUUGACUUCUCUAAGAUAUUUUUUUAUACAAACAUAUACACCAGACU